GCGAACUCGGGCUAGUAAGCAAUGAAAGCCUUUUUCUCGCCAACGAUUUUCGGCUUCGAUUCAUUUCGUCGCUGUCAGUCGGAAGUGGGAAAUAAAACUUGAUUAACUAUCAACCCCCUUUUAUACUUUAUUGUACUGAACUGUUUCUUCCUCUAUUUCAUUAUGGAGAAGAAAACAAAAAUACGAAACAAAGAACAACUCUUAGCAACGGAUAUCUUGGUUCUCGUAACGAUGAAGAACGCAGCGAAAUGCGAUACGUAAUGCGAAUUGCAGAAUUCAGUGAAUCAUCAAAUCUUUGAACGCAAAUGGCGCUUUUUGGAUAGGCCAAGGAGCAUGCCUCUUGGAGUAUCGUUUCUAACCAUCUCAGAGACUCUCUUUUAUUAGGAGUGAAUCUGGAUAAUGAGUUUUCUCACUGAAAUAGUGAGUAACUUUAAGAAGCGCGAGUGCUAAUUACGAAGUACCCCUAGUUUGUUCAGCUUCUUUCGAGAGGCGCCCCGCUUCGGCAGGGUUCUUACAGCUAGUGACGUUGAUAAUCUUAUUUCUCUACGUCGCUUAUCAAACUGUUUGAAUUCUACGAUGCGUCGGUCAAGACAAGCUUUAAAUAUGGGCGAAAAGUGUAGCGUCAACUCGAAUGGAAAAAUUUCGGUUCGCAAGAGCUGAAAACUUUUUGAAUUAGAUCUCCAAUGAAGCAAGAUUACCCGCUGAACUUAAGCAUAUUAUUAAGCGGAGGAAAAGAAACUAACAAGGAUGCCAUCAGUAACGGCGAGUGAAGCUGGCAAAGCUCAACCUGAAAAUCGGGUUCCUUAGCGGGAUCUCGAAUUGUGGGCUAUAGACGCGUGAUCAGUGUGUGACCCAGGCAUAAAUCUCUUUGAAACGAGGUAUCAUAGUGGGUGAGAAUCCCGUCUGUGGCUUGGAGCAUCGCCGCGUACGAUCCGCGUUCGCAGAGUCGCGUUGUUUGGGAUUGCAGCGCUAAAUGGGUGGUAAAUUUCAUCUAAAGCUAAAUAUCGACGAGAGACCGAUAGCGAACAAGUACCGUGAGGGAAAGAUGAAAAGAACUUUGAAAAGAGAGUUAAAAAGUACUUGAAAUUGCUAAGAGGGAAGCUCUGGAAACCAGUGAAUGAACUCGCGUGUAUAUUUACCAUCCGCUACUGGAUCGCUGUUUGUGCCGAGAGCCCAAAGCCUCGCUAGGGCAGCGUGAAAAUGUGGGUGUUCCCUGUACUGUGAGUUCGGUCAGAAUCGAUUUGAUUCGUGAGAGAAAGCUAUCACAACGGUAGGACCGCGGGGGCAACUCCAAGGUCUGUUUAGUGUGGUAGUCCUAUCAUGGGCUAGAUCGAGGGACAAUUUCAACGCGCACCACUAGGUUAUCGGUUCCCCGACCCUGGGGCUUCACGAAGCGUGGACAACAAAGUUGUGCUGUUUCGGAAGGGCUCUACUGGAAGGGAUGAACUAGACGCAGCGUUCGAGAUUCUGACGAAAUGGUUUUCAGCGACCCGUCUUGAAC
RNAcentral lists this ribosomal RNA (1501 nucleotides) under uncultured fungus. Its description in RNAcentral is "eukaryotic LSU rRNA". The stretch from base 675 to 1501 matches the Rfam family "Eukaryotic large subunit ribosomal RNA", at positions 1 to 659 of the family's 3401-position model. The record is from RNAcentral. Lineage: Eukaryota; Fungi.